GUCUCUUACUUCUCCUGCAUUGGCAGGCGGGUUCUUUACCGCUAGCGCCGCCUUUCAGCCAGGCCCUUCACCCGCACCAAGGACUCACCGGUCCUGGCGUCCAGCAGUCCCACAGAUGACGUUCAUGUUCUCAAAGCGGAUGCUGCUCACGCGCCCACUCUCCAUGGCCCCGGGGAACUCGGCUUCCAGGGCCUCCAGCACCUCCACGUGGGUAAGGUCCUCUUCAGGCUGGGGAUGUCGGGGACGCCCGAGUUAAGUUCAGGUGCAAAAGUCCCCACCCUAGACCCCACCUGCAGAGCCUGCCAGAGCGAGGAGGAUAGGAAUCUUUCAGGUAGAAAAGCAUCUGCUGCCAUUCUAGGUCAUUCUCAGAAAAACAAAAUCAAUCCUCACCAAGCCGAUUUGCCAAAAGUCAAUGAACAGUCGGCUGAAUGAUUCACCAGUUGGCCAACUUUGCCUAUCUAUUGAAAACUUUUCCAGCAACCUGCGUUGGAUGGUGAGGUUUUGGCAGCCCUUGAAGAUUUCCGCAAGGAUUUAAGCUGUACAUUUUUCCUUUUAUAGUCAUAUUAGCAUUUUAAGGACUGUUACUUUGUCAAUAAAUAAGGAUCGUAGGGGAGGGUUUGA
Bubalus bubalis (water buffalo) is the source of this 621-nucleotide long non-coding RNA. RefSeq lists it as uncharacterized. NCBI's taxonomy places the organism in Eukaryota, Metazoa, Chordata, Mammalia, Artiodactyla, Bovidae. The record is from RefSeq and is a predicted model, not a curated record. The transcript has 2 exons.